This 497-nucleotide ribosomal RNA is filed under the name [Eubacterium] brachy. RNAcentral describes it as "bacterial SSU rRNA". It matches the Rfam family "Bacterial small subunit ribosomal RNA", at positions 390 to 930 of the family's 1533-position model. The record is from RNAcentral. Lineage: Bacteria; Bacillati; Bacillota; Clostridia; Peptostreptococcales; Anaerovoracaceae.
AGCAACGCCGCGUGAACGAUGAAGGCCUUUGGGUGCGUAAAGUUCUGUUCUAGGUGAUGAAAACUGACAGUAACCUAGGAGAAAGCCCCGGCUAACUCCGUGCCAGCAGCCGCGGUAAUACGGAGGGGGCAAGCGUUAUCCGGAAUUAUUGGGCGUAAAGGGUACGUAGUGGCUUUUAAGCGUAGGGUAUAAGGCAAUGGCUCAACCAUUGUUCGCCCUAUGAACUGGAAGGCUUGAGUGCAGGAGAGAAAGCGGAAUUCCUAGUGUAGCGGUGGAAUGCAUAGAUAUUAGGAGGAACAUCAGCGGCGAAGGCGGCUUUCUGGACUGCAACUGACACUGAGGUACGAAAGCGUGGGGAGCAACAGGAUUGGAUACCCUGGUAGUCCACGCGUAACGAUGAGCACUAGUGUCGGGUCGUAAGCUCGGUGCGUAGUACGCAUAAGUGCUCGCCUGGGAUACGCACGCAGUGUGAACUCAAGAUGACGGGACCGCACAGC